This 165-nucleotide ribosomal RNA is filed under the name Oxalis flava. Its description in RNAcentral is "5.8S ribosomal RNA". It matches the Rfam family "5.8S ribosomal RNA". From Rfam's summary of the family: 5.8S ribosomal RNA (5.8S rRNA) is a component of the large subunit of the eukaryotic ribosome. It is transcribed by RNA polymerase I as part of the 45S precursor that also contains 18S and 28S rRNA. The record is from RNAcentral. RNAcentral also lists the same sequence under 3 other names. Lineage: Eukaryota; Viridiplantae; Streptophyta; Magnoliopsida; Oxalidales; Oxalidaceae.
AGAAUGACUCUCGGCAACGGAUAUCUCGGCUCUCGCAUCGAUGAAGAACGUAGCGAAAUGCGAUACUUGGUGUGAAUUGCAGAAUCCCGUGAACCAUCGAGUCUUUGAACGCAAGUUGCGCCCCAAGCCUUUAGGCCGAGGGCACGCCUGCCUGGGUGUCACACA